CAGAAAAAAUAUAGAAAGGGGUUUAUCGAUAUUGCGAAAAUCAAGUGUGUGGAAAUAGUGAAGAAUGAUGGUGGUGUCAUUCCCUGUCAAAAUAAAUACCCGUUUCAGGUUGUGCAUGAUGCUAAUACACUUUACAUCUUUGCACCCAGCGCGCAAAGCAGAGACCGGUGGGUGAAGAAGUUAAAAGAAGAAAUCAAGAACAACAGUAAUAUCAUGAUUAAAUAUCAUCCUAACUUCUGGACAGAUGGAAGUUAUCAGUGUUGCAGACAAACUGAAAAAUUAGCACCUGGAUGUGAAAAAUACAAUCUCCUUGAGAGUAGCAUAAGAAAAGCACUACCUCCAGCUCCAGAAAUGAAGAAG
Molecule: non-coding RNA, 360 nt
Organism: Microcebus murinus (gray mouse lemur)
Lineage: Eukaryota; Metazoa; Chordata; Mammalia; Primates; Cheirogaleidae
Source: RefSeq, a predicted model, not a curated record